CAGUCGCCGCGGUAAUACGUAGGUCCCGAGCGUUGUCCGGAUUUAUUGGGCGUAGAGGGAGCGCAGGCGGUCAGGAAAGUCUGGAGUAAAAGGCUAUGGCUCAACCAUAGUGUGCUCUGGAAACUGUCUGACUUGAGUGCAGAAGGGGAGAGUGGAAUUCCAUGUGUAGCGGUGAAAUGCGUAGAUAUGUGGAGGAACACCAGUGGCGAAAGCGGCUCUCUGGUCUGUCACUGACGCUGAGGCUCGAAAGCGUGGGUAGCGAACAGGAUUAGAUACCCGCGUAGUCCCUGUCUCUUAUACA
RNAcentral lists this ribosomal RNA (301 nucleotides) under uncultured bacterium. Its description in RNAcentral is "partial 16S ribosomal RNA". It matches the Rfam family "Bacterial small subunit ribosomal RNA", at positions 509 to 808 of the family's 1533-position model. The record is from RNAcentral.